RNAcentral lists this ribosomal RNA (231 nucleotides) under uncultured bacterium. Its description in RNAcentral is "partial 16S ribosomal RNA". It matches the Rfam family "Bacterial small subunit ribosomal RNA", at positions 118 to 347 of the family's 1533-position model. The record is from RNAcentral.
UGGGCAACCUGCCCCUAGCUCUGGGAUAACUCCGGGAAACCGGGGCUAAUACCGGAUACGACCUCGAGCGGCACCUCUUGAGGUGGAAAGUUUUUCGGCUAGGGAUGGGCCCGCGGCCUAUCAGCUUGUUGGUGAGGUAACGGCCCACCAAGGCGACGACGGGUAGCCGGCCUGAGAGGGCGACCGGCCACACUGGGACUGAGACACGGCCCAGACCUCCGUACGGGAGCA